Molecule: long non-coding RNA, 919 nt
Organism: Passer domesticus (house sparrow)
Lineage: Eukaryota; Metazoa; Chordata; Aves; Passeriformes; Passeridae
Exons: 4
Source: RefSeq, a predicted model, not a curated record
UUUUUUUCUUUCCCCCCUUUUUCUAAACCAUGCUAUUACAGAGGGAUUACUACCACUUCUAAUUGGUCCAGCCUUGGCCAUCAGCACAUCCUUCUUGAAGCCAGCUGGCACUGGCUCUGCUGGGCAUGGAGGAAGGUUUUGGCAGCUUCUCACAGAAAGAACUAACUUGUACUCUGGUUUGCAUUGGACUAGAAGAUUUUUAGUUCACAAAAAAAUCUCUUGUGAAUGCAGCUUGAAAACUUCUGAAAUAAUUUGUGGCUUGAGGAUACUUUGUAGAUACAAGAACGUAUCUUAUAAGCAGGAACUAAGCUGACAAGACUGCAAGGUCAUGCAUUGAUACAUCAUGUUAUCUGUCACAUCCUUACUUUGUUACCUCAAAGAAGAAGCUGGUGAAUGGUGAUUCUGUCCCAGAUCCUGGUGACCACACCACACAGCGCAAGUGCAGAAGUGGUGUCAGGGAGUGGUCAAGACCAAUAGAGGGGGAUCAAGACCACCAAAAGACCCUCAAUGCAUCUCAACCCAUUUCCAGGAAGGUCCAGAAGACUGGACUGCACCUGCUCACUUAUUUACAUGAAGAGUGAGAACUCUAUUCCCAGAGAGGGAAAAAUUUACCUGUAAGAAGGUACCUCCACAAAGCCUGAGUGGCACUUCCAGGACUUUGGACACCAAUUGGCUGGAGCCAGGCUGGAGCCAGAACUGCUGAUCCUCUUGCCUCUCUCUUUCAUCUUCUCUUUCCUUCCUCUUUCUUUUUAUUCCUUUAUUUCUAUUAUUAUAGGGACAAAAUACAUACCAAUUUCCAUGCCUAGUGUGCAGUGUGCUAAAAAAAAUUUAUGAGGUUUUUCUUUUUUUUUUUUUGGUGUUCUUUUGGCUUUUGUCAUUCUUUUUCAACCAGGCACGUCUACAAAAUUUGAGUGCUCUG